GACGAACGCUGGCGGCGUGCUUAACACAUGCAAGUCGAACGGAAAGGCCCUGCUUUUGUGGGGUGCUCGAGUGGCGAACGGGUGAGUAACACGUGAGUAACCUGCCCUUGACUUUGGGAUAACUUCAGGAAACUGGGGCUAAUACCGGAUAGGAGCUCCUGCUGCAUGGUGGGGGUUGGAAAGUGUCGGCGGUUGGGGAUGGACUCGCGGCUUAUCAGCUUGUUGGUGGGGUAGUGGCUUACCAAGGCUUUGACGGGUAGCCGGCAUGAGAGGGUGACCGGCCACCUUGGGACUGAGAUACGGCGCAGAAUCCUACGGGAGGCAGCAGUGGGGAAUAUUGCACAAUGGGCGGAAGCCUGAGGCAGCAACGCCGCGUGCGGGAUGCCGGCCUUCGGGUUGUAAACCGCUUUCGCCUGUGACGAAGCGUGAGUGACGGUAAUGGGUAAAGAAGCACCGGCUAACUACGUG
This 468-nucleotide ribosomal RNA is filed under the name uncultured bacterium. Its description in RNAcentral is "partial 16S ribosomal RNA". It matches the Rfam family "Bacterial small subunit ribosomal RNA", at positions 28 to 507 of the family's 1533-position model. The record is from RNAcentral.